AAUGAACGCAAGCAGUUGGUCUUACACAUGCAAGUUAAAUGUUCGAAAGAACAUAGCACACGGGUGAGUAAAAAAGAGGUAACAUACUUAACAAAUGGGAAUAAUAAAUAAUACCCAAUAAAUUCUGUUAGUUGAUGAGAAAUUAAAGAGAAAAAUCGUUGUUAAACUGGCUUCUUUAAGAUUAGGUAGUUGGUAGUGUAAUAGACUACAAAGCCAAAGAUCUUUAGCUGAUUUUAAUGGAUGAUCAGCCACAAGGGGAUUGAAAGAAGGCCCUUAUACGUUAAGUAGCAGCAGUGGAGAAUCUUAGACAAUGGACGAAAGUCUGAUCUAGCCAAACUGCGUGAAAGAGAUGAAAGUUUCUUUCUUUCGUUAGUGAAGAUAAUGACAGUAACUAAAAAAGAAGCUCCGGCUAAUCUCGUGCCAGCCGCCGCCGUAACAC
This 439-nucleotide ribosomal RNA is filed under the name uncultured bacterium. RNAcentral's name for it is "bacterial SSU rRNA". It matches the Rfam family "Bacterial small subunit ribosomal RNA", at positions 30 to 526 of the family's 1533-position model. The record is from RNAcentral.